RNAcentral lists this unclassified non-coding RNA (366 nucleotides) under Hevea brasiliensis (rubber tree). Lineage: Eukaryota; Viridiplantae; Streptophyta; Magnoliopsida; Malpighiales; Euphorbiaceae. The record is from RNAcentral.
AAGGAAGGCAACUGCCAACCUCAACCAUUCAAAUUAGGAAGUUGAACAAAAUACAAUAAGCAAAUUAAAAAUAAGCUAUGAACUAUCAUAGGAAAUAAAUAGAUGUAAGUGGAUUUCAUACUAAAAAUAACACUGGAAUUUACAUUAAAUUGAAAAGAAAAGCACUUUGAAAGUGCCUUUCAUUAGCAAUAUCUCAUCCAGACCCACUCACAAGACCUUGUCACCUCCAAGUCACUCCCAGCACCUUCAAAGACUACCCCCUCUGCCCUGCAUUUCUUCCAAAGUAACUAAUCAUAUGCAUACCAUUAAAAGACAUAACAAUACUCUUGCUUUUUUUAGAUCCACCAUGUUAUGGAAAGUCAAUCA